RNAcentral lists this ribosomal RNA (347 nucleotides) under uncultured bacterium. RNAcentral's name for it is "bacterial SSU rRNA". It matches the Rfam family "Bacterial small subunit ribosomal RNA", at positions 527 to 881 of the family's 1533-position model. The record is from RNAcentral.
GUAGGUGGCAAGCGUUAUCCGGAAUCAUUGGGCGUAAAGGGUGCGUAGGUGGCACGAUAAGUCUGAAGUAAAAGGCAACAGCUCAACUGUUGUAUGCUUUGGAAACUGUCGAGCUAGAGUGCAGAAGAGGGCGAUGGAAUUCCAUGUGUAGCGGUAAAAUGCGUAGAUAUAUGGAGGAACACCAGUGGCGAAGGCGGUCGCCUGGUCUGUAACUGACACUGAUGCACGAAAGCGUGGGGAGCAAAUAGGAUUAGAUACCCUAGUAGUCCACGCCGUAAACGAUGAGAACUAAGUGUUGGAGAGAUUCAGUGCUGCAGUUAACGCAAUAAGUUCUCCGCCUGGGGAGU